GAAAGGCCAAUCAAACCGGGAGAUAGCUGGUUCUCCCCGAAAUCUAUUUAGGUAGAGCCUCGGACGAAUUCCAUUGGGGGUAGAGCACUGUUAAGGCUAGGGGGUCAUCCCGACUUACCAACCCUUUGCAAACUCCGAAUACCAAUGAGAACUAUCCGGGAGACACACGGCGGGUGCUAACGUCCGUCGUGGAGAGGGAAACAACCCAGACCGCCAGCUAAGGUCCCAAAAUAUUGCUAAGUGGGAAACGAUGUGGGAAGGCAUAGACAGCUAGGAGGUUGGCUUAGAAGCAGCCACCCUUUAAAGAAAGCGUAAUAGCUCACUAGUCGAGUCGGCCUGCGCGGAAGAUGUAACGGGGCUAAAACUAUAUGCCGAAGCUGCGGAUUUGCAAUUUAUUGCAAGUGGUAGGGGAGCGUUCUGUAAGCCGAUGAAGGUGUAUUGAGAAGUAUGCUGGAGGUAUCAGAAGUGCGA
Molecule: ribosomal RNA, 471 nt
Filed under: Stygamoeba regulata
Lineage: Eukaryota; Discosea; Stygamoebida
Description: partial Bacterial large subunit ribosomal RNA
Rfam family: Bacterial large subunit ribosomal RNA
Source: RNAcentral